This is a long non-coding RNA of Acipenser ruthenus (sterlet), 1711 nucleotides long. RefSeq lists it as uncharacterized. The transcript has 3 exons. The record is from RefSeq and is a predicted model, not a curated record. NCBI's taxonomy places the organism in Eukaryota, Metazoa, Chordata, Actinopteri, Acipenseriformes, Acipenseridae.
CAUUUUGCAAGGUAUGCACUUGUGACAGUCUGGCUCGCAGUGGUGAGGUGGAUGACGUCACGGACCAGGAAGUAACUGACACCAAAACAGUGGAUGGGCGGGUGAAGCUGAAUGCUAGUGCACUCAGCGUAUUUAAUAAACAAACAAAUGAUUUUAACGAAACACAAAACAAAAGGGCACGAGGGCCAAACGAAUAAACAAACAAACAAGCAGGUCCAGGCCUCACUGCUGCAACUCCCCACGAAAGCUCAGGAGGACUAAAGGUCAGGGGACAUCCUCCAAUCCUUCCUACAUCUCUAGAGAAGCACUACAGUGGAUAUCAGUAAGCGACCAGCCCCUGGAGGACAAAUGUACAAACAUGGAGGAGCAAGAGGACGGGAGGCUGUAGCCACAGAGCCAACACGGACCCCAGAGCACGCCCUCACCACAGAGCACAACACAGCACAGCGCACGCACCACGAUCCCCGAAGGAGAAAAGCACAGUUUCGUGCACGGAGGAUUGUGGUUUAAGGAGUGUCUUUUGUUUACCUCGUUGCUGUUUUACCCCAAUAUCAUCGCUGAUAGUGGGGUAUAUUAUUAUUUUUCAUUUGGAUUAUUUUGGUGAUAUUUGUGUUAACCAUUAAAAGGAUUAUUCUUUGGGAGACAACAGUCUGGACAUGCCACAUCUUUUGCACCGCACCAUUCAUCACUAAUUUCGGAAACAUUUCAAUUCUGAGAAGACUUUGUUUUUAUUAAUGUGACUAAAUUAGAGACAAGCAAAUAAACAGAUAUGUUGAAAACUGAUUUUAAAGCACUGGUUUCUAUUGUAUAAAUGGUUCCUACUUAUUGUACUGUUUACUAUUUUAUUCCUCAUCUGACGUCUAUAAGCAAUCUGUGUUCAGACUUUACCAUAGUAAAAGCACAGUGAAAGUAAAGGUAAGCACUGUAAAGACCAGAGUGGUAUGGUAAAGCAAAUGCAAAAAUUCAUGGCAAACUAUGGCAAAUAUACAGUAGAACCAUGUGCAAACACUGUGCAAAUUUACUGUGGUAAACUUGUAUGAGGGCAAAGCCAAAAAAAUAUUACCAUGUAUAAUUAAAUGUAUCUCAAAAGAAACAAAAUAUGUGAUAAAUGAAAUAAAAGAAAUCAGAAAUGUGGCAUUCUUUCUUUUCCUGUUUGUAAAUCACCAUUUUGUACAAGUCAUGUUCUUUGAGGCUGUCAUGUUGAGGUAAAGCUUACUCGUUUUAGUAGCAUUUUCCCUUUAACUUUCAUUACUCCACGGUACAACCAUUAAUGGCAAAUUAGUCAUGGUACGUGCCUACAAACCUAACCCUGACAGUUUCAAUGUAAUGUGUUUCAUUUAAAUAUGUGUUGAUUUUUCAGCUGUUAAUGAAUGAGGUUUACAGUUUUCAAAACAUUUCAGAUCUGCACAGGGAAUGGAAGAGCACAACUGCAAUAUUUACAAAGAAAGCGUGCCACUGAGUCUCAACCUGCUCACCACACCGAUGCUCUUUUAUCAGUUCUUGAGACACUCUGGGACACCUCUACUUUAUAUUUUUAACCCCAGCAAAAGCUUUUGGCAGCAUGAGUAGAUUUAGCUUCCUCUUAUAAAUACACUGAUGUGCAUUUUGAUUCUCAGCAUUUCUGUAUUUCUGUUUGGAAGUAAAAACCUCUGGUUACGUAAAGGCUGCCUAGAGAUGGAAUUUCCCACGUUACCCUUGAAAUAAAACCAAU